GUCGAGCGGAAACGAUGGUAGCUUGCUACCAGGCGUCGAGCGGCGGACGGGUGAGUAACGCGUGAGAAUCUGCCCAUUUGUGGGGGAUAACUCGGGGAAACUCGAGCUAAUACCGCAUAAUCCCUACGGGGGAAAGCAGGGGACCUUCGGGCCUUGUGCAGAUGGAUGAGCUCGCGUCGGAUUAGCUUGUUGGUGAGGUAAAGGCUCACCAAGGCGACGAUCCGUAGCUGGUCUGAGAGGAUGAUCAGCCACACCGGGACUGAGACACGGCCCGGACUCCUACGGGAGGCAGCAGUGGGGAAUCUUGGACAAUGGGGGUAACCCUGAUCCAGCCAUGCCGCGUGUGUGAAGAAGGCCUUCGGGCUGUAAAGCACUUUCAGUAGGGAGGAAGGCUUACCGCUAAUAACGGUGAGUACUUGACGUUACCUACAGAAGAAGCACCGGCUAAUUUCGUGCCAGCAGCCGCGGUAAUACGAAAGGUGCGAGCGUUAAUCGGAAUUACUGGGCGUAAGGCGCGCGUAGGCGGUUUGUUAAGUCAGAUGUGAAAGCCCCGGGCUCAACCUGGGAAUUGCAUUUGAAACUGGCAGGCUAGAGUGCAGUAGAGGGAGGUGGAAUUUCCGGUGUAGCGGUGAAAUGCGUAGAGAUCGGAAGGAACACCAGUGGCGAAGGCGGCCUCCUGGACUGACACUGACGCUGAGGUGCGAAAGCGUGGGGAGCAAACAGGAUUAGAUACCCUGGUAGUCCACGCCGUAAACGAUGUCUACUAGUCGUUGGGAAUCUUAGUAUUCUUGGUGACGAAGUUAACGCGAUAAGUAGACCGCCUGGGGAGUACGGCCGCAAGGUUAAAACUCAAAUGAAUUGACGGGGCCCGCACAAGCGGUGAGCAUGUGGUUUAAUUCGAUGCAACGCGAAGAACCUUACCAGGCUUGACAUCCUUGGAACUUUCUAGAAGAUAGAUUGGUGCCUUCGGGAGCCAAGUGACAGGUGCUGCAUGGCUGUCGUCAGCUCGUGUCGUGGAGAUGUGGGUAGUCCCGUAACGAGCGCCAACCCUUGUUCUUAGUUGCCAGCACUUCAGGUGAUCUCUAGGGAGACUGCGGUGACAAUCAGAGAGUGGGACGACGUCAAGUCAUCAUGCCUUACGCUGCUACAUGCGGCUACAUGGCCAGUCAAGAGUCCGGAAAUCGAGCAGCACCCUAACUGUUCGAUCGGAUGACUGCCAAUCGAUCCUAGAAUCGGAAUCUAUAGUAUACGGCAUCAUAGU
RNAcentral lists this ribosomal RNA (1261 nucleotides) under uncultured bacterium. Its description in RNAcentral is "bacterial SSU rRNA". It matches the Rfam family "Bacterial small subunit ribosomal RNA", at positions 61 to 1353 of the family's 1533-position model. The record is from RNAcentral.